Molecule: ribosomal RNA, 673 nt
Filed under: Sordariomycetes sp. MAR08
Lineage: Eukaryota; Fungi; Ascomycota; Sordariomycetes
Also listed under: 1 other name
Description: eukaryotic LSU rRNA
Rfam family: 5.8S ribosomal RNA (bases 319-472)
Source: RNAcentral
GUUAUUACAAACUCCAAACCCAUUGUGAACUUACCUAUUGUUGCCUCGGCAGGUCGCGCUAUACGGUACGGGAAGCUAACAUGCAACUGACGUACCCAGAUAGGGGCUACCCUAGUGAAAUACCUGGAGAGAGGCCAUCCCUGGAGUACUGAAAGUUGUCAGCACCUACCCUAGAGUAGAGCUACCCUGGAGUAGAGCUACCCUGGAGUACGGAAAGCUGCCCUGCACCUACCCUAUAGCACGCAACCAGGCCUGCCGAAGGACCCUUAAACUCUGUUUUAUAAUUGUAUCUCUGAGUAAAUUAUACAAAUAAGUUAAAACUUUCAACAACGGAUCUCUUGGUUCUGGCAUCGAUGAAGAACGCAGCGAAAUGCGAUAAGUAAUGUGAAUUGCAGAAUUCAGUGAAUCAUCGAAUCUUUGAACGCACAUUGCGCCUAAUAGUAUUCUGUUAGGCAUGCCUGUUCGAGCGUCAUUUCAACCCCCAAGCCCUAUUUGCUUGACGUUGGGAGCCUACAGCUGCUGUAACUCCUUAAAUUUAGUGGCGGAGCUGGGUCAUGCUCUGAGCGUAGUAAUUUUAUUCUCGCUUCUGAUGCUGUCCUGUAUCUUGCCGUAAAACCCCUAAAAUUUAUUCUGGUUGACCUCGGAUCAGGUAGGAAUACCCGCUGAACUUAAG